Molecule: long non-coding RNA, 232 nt
Filed under: Elaeis guineensis (African oil palm)
Lineage: Eukaryota; Viridiplantae; Streptophyta; Magnoliopsida; Arecales; Arecaceae
Description: long non-coding RNA (EGUI_LNC047707)
Source: RNAcentral
UCCGCUAGAGAAGUUCAGAUGGGAUCUUGUUCUCACAAGAGGUCGAGAGGGGACCGUCCAUUGUAGGAGCUCGGGUGAGGAUCAGUUGUCAUGGAAGCUCGGAGUGGUGUCUCAUCGUAGUAGUCCAUCCAAAAUCCACUCGCUACGGAGUAGCUCGACUGAAGUCUACCUGUGAUAGAAGUUUGGAAGAAAUUUAUUCAUAGUAGAGGUUUGAAUGAAAUUUGCUUAUAGU